GGUGAAUCAGAUUCCUAUAAGGGU
RNAcentral lists this unclassified non-coding RNA (24 nucleotides) under Mus musculus (house mouse). RNAcentral describes it as "oocyte_clustered_small_RNA12216". Lineage: Eukaryota; Metazoa; Chordata; Mammalia; Rodentia; Muridae. The record is from RNAcentral.